Lycium ferocissimum is the source of this 5355-nucleotide long non-coding RNA. RefSeq lists it as uncharacterized. Lineage: Eukaryota; Viridiplantae; Streptophyta; Magnoliopsida; Solanales; Solanaceae. The transcript has 3 exons. The record is from RefSeq and is a predicted model, not a curated record.
CACUGGCUAUGUUGCUGGUUAAUAUGUAUAAAUAAUCUAUAUACAAAAUCCUGGAUCCGCCUCUGCAAAGUUAUGGUCUAGACUCUAGAAUGCAUAAACUUAAUCCUGGAUCUGUCUCCUCCGGAGACAAGUUAUGCAAGUGGUCAGUAUAAUUGAUGGCUUGAAGGGUGAUGAUGAUUUGGUAAAUCUUUAUUCCCUUCCUAGUAUACUAAUCAGGCAUUUGAGAUUAUCCGACCCUUGUCUUGGUGGGGCAUGCUCCCAGAGUUUUGGGUGGUUUUUGCAGCCAUGGCGUUGUUGGACUCUCUUCUUGCCUGAGCUUAAACACAGUUCUGAGCCUCAAAAUUUAUGUGCUUUUUAAAAAAAAUUCUGCUAGUUUGGAAAUGGAUAUAGAUGGACUCAUACCAUUGCCAACUUGUUUGGGAUGAGGUGUAGUUGGUCCAAUCUAUUUAUCUGCAAACUCUUUUACCGAGGUAAUCCUCACUGUCCUUUGCUGUCAGUUACAACUCAAAUGAAAUUUUUUCGAUUAUAAAAGCCACUUUAUGGUGAAAAUACCUAUGACCUUAUAGUUUUCUUCUGUUCUUACUCUCUAUUUAUAAGCAAUGAGGCGAUGAAGAUUUUGGCAUCUAUGGAAAUUGAAUCAGUUAUAAUCUUCUCCUGAGCUGAAAACACUGUAUCUUGGUGUGGCAGCUCAGAUUGGCUGUGAGAUGUUGGUGGAACAUUUCAUUUUUGGUGAAAGAAUGAGGCCGUUGCUGAUGUUUGCAGCCUUCAUUUUUGGUGGUUGCUCUGUUUCUCUGAAGUUUGAUUGCCUAUGAAUUCUUUGUUUUCUUUUUUAUCAACGGCUCUUGCAUCAGGAAAUGAUAAUGUUGUUGAUGAUGAAAAAAAUUUGUCAACAAUGCUCACCCCAAGUAGUUGGCGUUGCCUAUAUGACUCUUAGUGUCCAUUCCGCUGUAAAACCCAGAACUUAGUGAAUGAAGCUGUGGCAAUCUUAUCCAGUAAGCUUGAAUUUUGAAAUCUCAGACAUUUGAGCUGAUUUUUAUAUUCGUUUGGAAAAUUUUGAGGGAACUUUUGAGUUGGUUUUAUUUUCUAUUCUCACAAAACUUGUGCCCUUUGCUGCCACGACAGAUUAGCCCUUUUUCUGAUAGUUUAGACAAAUCUGUGACUCAUUUCUGUGUAACUCUCAGUUCCUUCCACAAUUUGGCAGAUUUCUGUUCCUGGUCCUGAGGUACUUUCAUUUUACAUGUUCAUCUCCAGCUCUUAGCACGAGGUCAAUAAAAACUAUCAUUCAAUCCCAAACAAGUAGGGGUCAGCUAUAGGAAUCUGAAUCUGCAUUAUCCAUUCAGCUCCAUAUGGAUCCAUUUCAUCCAAUUUUCAAUAUUUUUGGGACUUUUCUAACAAUAGAUGUUCCCUGCAUUUUUAACUGACCCUAGUGAACACUGGACUUAAUGUAAUCAUGUAACAUGACAGACCUUACCUGUGCUUUUUAAUAUAAUUAUAUAAGUAGGCGUUGGGCCAUGAAAACCAAAUAUUUUUCACUUCUUUUUUGAAAUUUUGAAGUUGGAGUUGAAAAUGAGUUGUGUUUGAUUAUAGUUUUUGUAAAGAAUAUUUGGUUGUUUGAAUGUACUGAAAGUGAAAAAAGUGAAAACAGGGUUUUAGGUGUUUUCCAAAUUAAGUUGUAUUUGGAAUUUUCAUGGCCAAAUGCUGAUUUUCAAAUAAAGUGAAAAAUAUUUCCAGAAAAAAGUGAAAUUCUCAUGGCGAAACGGGUAUUGUCAUGUCAUGCUUUCAUCCUCAAUUUGACGCCCUUUUUUGUAUCUUGAGAAUCCAAAAGUUCUGAGGCUAUGAAGAUUAUCUUAAAAAGACUGAAAUAUUGGAGUUAAUUCCAAGGCAUGGCUUGGCAAAGACAACCUGGAAGGUCUGUGAAGGAUGAUGAGAAAUAGUAAGUUUCUUGUAGUCCCUUCUCACAAGGCAGCCGAUCUUUGCAGCCAUGGCCGUUUUAGCUCUGCUCUUUGAUUAAAUAGGCGAAAAUCUGAGCCUCCUUACCUCAGUUUUACUUCAGUUUGAUCACUGAAACAGUAUCUUUUAGAAGCUUUCUUGAAUUGAUCCAAAAAUUCAGUUAUUGCUUUCAAUCUUAAACUGAUUUGAUUUUCAACAAUGUGUGGGAUAAUUGGGUUUUCAUGAAAAAGUACCAACAAAUGGCAUGGUCUCGAGUCUUGAUGCCUUCAUGUCCACACUAAUUUAAAGCUAUGUUACUCAGACUCUCCUAAAAUGUUGUUGGGUGCGUGUCGGAUCCUUCAAAAGUAGUGUAUUUUUGGAGGAUCCGACACGGGUGCGGCAACACUUUCGAAGAGUCCGAGUAACUUAGAUUUAAAGGUAAUAACAACAUUGUUGUCCAUAUGAAAUUUCCAAAAAAAGAUAAUAUAAAAAGAAUUCGACAUGAACGUCUUAUUUUGCCCUUAAUGACAGGGUUUGUCGUAUACAUUUUCUAAUAGCAUCUUUCAUGAUAUUUGUUUUUUUUUCUUUUUUAUAUCAAUCAUUUUGAUUCAGAAUUCAAUGUAAAUAGACCCUAAAUGAUCACUAAUUUUAAUUUAGCCUUCAGAUACUAAUCCUAACAAUUUCAAAUAACAUUUACUUAAAAAAAACACAAAUAUCAAGUUAGAAUUAUCAACUCUACUUCGAAAUUUCAAGAUCCGUUCAACAAAGGUGGACUUCAAGUUUUACUCCAUACGAAAUCGUGCAGGUAAUUUUAUCUUUUCUUAGCUUUUAAUUAUUUAUCUCCAUCUUUUAAUAAUUAUAACUUAGACUCGCCCUGACGCCCUAACAACGUGCUAAGCAGUAAUCACCCUUUGGAAAACAAAAUGGGAAAAUGAAAUUUCUUUAUCUUCAUUUAAGACUUACGAGUCCUUUUGCGUGUUCUCUUCAUGCAACAAAGCAAAAGCUCAGAAGGGAGAGAAUGAGGCUACGAGGAGUUUUAGGAUUUUUGUUGAAAGGGUGGUUGCCUCUCUCUGCAUCAGCCAAUGUUUUCUCAUCACUGGCAUGCCCCCAGAUUUUUCUGGUGGUUUUUGCAGCCAUGGCAUUGCUGGAAUCUCAUUUUGCCCGAGCUUUAAAACAGAACUGAGCCUCAAAGCCCCAAUAUCUCUAUGUUGUUUUGGGAAAUGGAUAUGUAGUUGCAGAGCAAUGGACAAAGCAAAAGCUCGGAUGGAAGAGCGUACUCUUAUAAGAAGAUGGGAGAGCAUACUCUUAUAAGAAGAUAGCUGUUAUAGAAGGGUAAUUUUACAAAGAGCGUACUCUUAUAAAGAUGAUUGUUGCAGAGAUGGAGUAUCAAUCAAUAUGCAUUCGGAGCUUGGACAAUAUUUGUGUUGAAACUUAAAGGGUUUCCAUGCUGUAUGCUAAAACCAUGCAUCUUUCUGUUUCUUUCUUUCUUUUAUGCUGUCACGAGCAUUUAAUGCUGCCGGUAGUGGUGGUGAGUAUAAUUGGCGGCUAAAAAGAGGCGGUGAUGAAUUCUAUGAUGCUUUCAUUCCCUUCUGAGCUUAUUAAUCGGGCAUCUUGAGAUUAUCCGACCCGUAUCUUGGCGGGAUAGGACUCCAAAUUUUCUGGUGGUUUUUGCAAGCCAUGGCGUUGCAGAUCUCUCUUUACCUGAGCUAUAACACAGAUCUGAGCCUCAAUUUAUGAGAAAAUGGGAUUAUUUGACUGAACUCCAGCCAAUUCAGCUGCUAACCUUGCUCAGUUACGAUCUCUUGACUGGCAAAAAUCUCAGAUGGGAGAGAAUGAGGCUACGGAGAGUUUAAGGUUUUUUCGUUGAAAGGGUGGUUGCCUCUCUCUGCAUUAGCCCAUGAUCUCUCCAUUACUGUGAAGAACCGCAACAGCCCUUUCUUUGCUCUUUCGGAUUGAAGAGCGGUCUCAAAAAUUAGCUAUCUGUUGCAUAUACAUUCAGACAUCUGUAUAACCCUUAUUCUCAAUAACAACAUUUUACUAUGACAGCUAAAAAAUACUUAGACAAAUGGCUCUGUAAUAGAGAGAUUUGAUUGUAUUCCCCCUCAGUGGGAGUAUUGAUCAGCAUGCACUUGGAGUUUGUACAAUAUUUGUGUUGAAACUUAAAGGGUUUCCAUGCCCUUCCAUGUUGUAUGCUAAUGCCAUGCAUCUUUCUGUUUCUUUCCUUCUUUCUUUUGUUCCUUCGCUGGAGCAUUUAAUGCCGCUGGUGGUGUUGGUGAGUAUAAUUGGCGGCUAAAAAGAGGCGAUGAUGAUUUCUGUGUUUGUUUCAUGGAACAACAACAUACCCAGUGUAAUACACAGACCUUACCCCUACCUAGUGGAUUGCUUCACGGUAACAGGAUCAAAUUUGUCCCCCUACUGUUCUAAAAGGAUUAUUGUUGUCUCCCUUCUGAGCUUAUUAGUCGGGUAUUUCAGAUUAUCCGACCCGUAUCUUGGCGGGGCAUGACCCCAGAUUUUCUGGUGGUUUUUGCAGCCAUGGCCUCGUUGGACCCUCUGUUAUGCCUUAGCUUAAAACAGAUCUGAGCCUCAAUUCCGGGGAAAUUGGAAGUAUUUGACCUGGAAGGUUUGCAAAUCACAUUAGUUUAAGUCUGAGGCGGCGGAGAAAGCAGGGACCUGUUGGGAGUUUCUAUGGGUGGUCCCCCCCCCCCCCCCCCCCCCUCUGUCAUUUCCUCUGCCAAUGGUACUCAAAUGAAAAAUAUUUCCAAUUACAAAACCACCCUUGAUCGAUUUACUUAUUACUCCCCCUGUUCCAAUUAUUAGAGGCUAUGAAGAUUGUUGUUUGUGAAAAAAAUGAAUCUGACAUUUUACUCUUGAGCUGAAAAGACUGUAGGUGUUUGGACAAUAUUUGAUUGAUGUUGAUAAAAUAUAGUCGUAUCUUGGCGUGGCGUGGCAGCUCACGUGUCUGUGAGAUGUGGGGAGAACAUAUCCAUUUUUGGUGUUUCUUCUGUGUCUCACAAGACAAGGCUAACUGAAGCUUGCGGCCAUGACAUGUUUUUUAAAGUUCUUUGAGUUUUGUCUGGAAGAGAGUCAGAAUCUGAGCCUACCCCAUUACCUUUAUUCUGCUGAAAGAAUGAGGCGUUUCUGACUCGGAGAAUGAAUUCUCUGGGUUCAGAACAAGUUAUGCCGGCAUGGAGAGUAUGAUUGACAGCUUAAAAGAGACAAUGAUGGAUUUGUAUAUCUUUUGUAUUAAUCAGGCAUUUGAGAUAAUCCUACACGUAACUUAGCGGGGCAUGCCCCCAGAUUUUUCUGGUGGUUUUUGCAGCCAUGAUGUGGCCACUCUCUCCUUUUGCCUGAGUUACAACACAGAUCUGAGUCUCAAUUUCUGGGAAAAUGGAAACUAAAAGGAAAUUCUUUUUUGUUAAUUCAAAA